CCUACGGGUGGCAGCAGUGAGGAAUAUUGGUCAAUGGCCGUAAGGCUGAACCAGCCAAGUCGCGUGAAGGAAGAAGGAUCUAUGGUUUGUAAACUUCUUUUAUAGGGGAAUAAAGGUAUCCACGUGUGGCUAUUUGCAUGUACCCUAUGAAUAAGCAUCGGCUAACUCCGUGCCAGCAGCCGCGGUAAUACGGAGGAUGCGAGCGUUAUCCGGAUUUAUUGGGUUUAAAGGGUGCGUAGGUUGUUUUUUAAGUCAGCGGUGAAAGUUUGUGGCUCAACCAUAAAAUUGCAGUUGAUACUGGAAGUCUUGAGUGUGUUUGAGGUAGGCGGAAUGCGUGGUGUAGCGGGGAAAUGCAUAGAUAUCACGAAGAACCCCGAUUGCGAAGGCAGCUUACUAAGCCAUAACUGACACUGAAGCACGAAAGCGUGGGGAUCAAACAGGAUUAGAUACCCCAGUAGUC
Molecule: ribosomal RNA, 460 nt
Filed under: uncultured bacterium
Lineage: Bacteria
Description: partial 16S ribosomal RNA
Rfam family: Bacterial small subunit ribosomal RNA
Source: RNAcentral